This is a long non-coding RNA of Rosa rugosa (rugosa rose), 840 nucleotides long. RefSeq lists it as uncharacterized. The transcript has 2 exons. NCBI's taxonomy places the organism in Eukaryota, Viridiplantae, Streptophyta, Magnoliopsida, Rosales, Rosaceae. The record is from RefSeq and is a predicted model, not a curated record.
UCUUAGCCAUCCAUUUUCCCCACCGCUUGAUCCCAGCCGUCCAUUAUCACUUGGACACAUCUAUAUACAUGGGGAACAGUAUGAAGACUCGGGAGAAUUCGGGAGAGAGAGAACUAGAGUUCUCCGACCCAGACGCCACCGCGACCCGAGAAGAAACCCGGCCGUCGCGCCACCAUCCGGCCACCCCAUGACGGCGCAUACCCACCAUUCCCUUCGCCUCCGCGUUGUCUACGUCCCUGUGGUUCCAGAUCUUACAUGCAGCGACUACAAGCGGGGAUUCGACGACGGAAAGCCUUGGGUCUCCUCCGGCGAUUUCUGCAAACUCCGGCGACUCGAGUCACCGACAGAGCCGCUUGUGCUGCACUCCUAGCCCCCAAUCGAGAAGUCUGUCGAAUUUCUGGUGUGUAAAUCAUCAGUUCAUGACCAUUUCCGUCUCGGCAGUGGGGUUCUGGGGACUGAGUUUGGCUCGAUUGACGUAGAUUUCUGAUUACAAAGGCUAGGUUCGGCUUGCUGUGUUCUUCGUUGGAAAGCAGACCUGCAAUUCGAGGUUCCUUUUCGAUCUAGUCGAUCACAAGGUGAGUUGGGUUCUGUUGAAGGUCUGAGAAUUUACACUUCUGGAAACUGGGCUGCCUUGUAGCAUGCAUGCUGUGAUGUUGUGUUUGAGAAGAAUAAAUUGGUAGUUAGUCAGAAGAAAUCGAAAGCUAUGUUGUGAGCUUGCUGUUUUGUCCAUGUUUGCUAAGAUUGUAGUUGUUAAAUGAUUUUGGUGAUGGAUGUUGUAGUAUGUUUCUUAUUCUGGUGAAAAUGACAAAGCAUAAAUAUGCAGGUAUGCGUUUAGUUGAA